CCCCCUUGGGGUAUGCCUUAGUACGGCGAGUGAGCGGCAAAAGCUCAAAUUUGAAAUCUGGUACCUUUGGUGCCCGAGUUGUAAUUUGGAGAGUACCACUUGGACUGUACUUCUGCCUAUGUUCCUUGGAACAGGACGUCAUGGAGGGUGAGAAUCCCGUGUGGCGAGGGUGUCAGUUCUUUGUAAAGGGUGCUCGAAGAGUCGAGUUGUUUGGGAAUGCAGCUCUAAGUGGGUGGUAAAUUCCAUCUAAAGCUAAAUACAGGCGAGAGACCGAUAGCGAACAAGUACAGUGAUGGAAAGAUGAAAAGAACUUUGAAAAGAGAGUGAAAAAGUACGUGAAAUUGUUGAAAGGGAAGGGCAUUUGAUCAGACAUGGUGUUUUGCGCCCCUUGCCUCUCGUGGGCUUGGGACUCUCGCAGCUCACUGGGCCAGCAUCGGUUUUGGCGGCCGGAAAAAACCUAGGGAAUGUGGCUCUGCGCCUCGGUGUAGAGUGUUAUAGCCCUGGGGAAUACGGCCAGCCGGGACCGAGGACUGCGAUACUUGUUAUCUAGGAUGCUGGCAUAAUGGUUAUAUGCCGCCCGUCUUAGAGAAAACGGAGACAAAAAAAAAGGUGGGGGAGAGGGAGAGG
Molecule: ribosomal RNA, 627 nt
Filed under: Nakaseomyces glabratus
Lineage: Eukaryota; Fungi; Ascomycota; Saccharomycetes; Saccharomycetales; Saccharomycetaceae
Description: [Candida] glabrata partial large subunit ribosomal RNA
Rfam family: Eukaryotic large subunit ribosomal RNA
Source: RNAcentral